This is a long non-coding RNA of Ornithorhynchus anatinus (platypus), 396 nucleotides long. RefSeq lists it as uncharacterized. The record is from RefSeq and is a predicted model, not a curated record. Lineage: Eukaryota; Metazoa; Chordata; Mammalia; Monotremata; Ornithorhynchidae. The transcript has 4 exons.
UUCAGUCUGCCUGCAGCAGCCAUUUGGGAACCCAGCUGCCUUCCAUUCUGCUCACAUGUCCAGUGGAAUUGCUUUUUGGUCCUUUGUCUGGAUCCAGCCACUCAUACCAUUUUCCUCUCUCAGCGUGGAUAGAUGGGAAGAGGAAAACAUCUGAAAACUGACAAGAUGCUUCAGAUAAAGGCUGUCCACAGUAGGAAAUGGCAUGCUCAUUUUGGCCUGGGAAUAGCUGGUGAGGGCUGUGAGCAUUGGAGUCAAAGAAGGAGGAGAUUUGGAUACAGCGGAGCAGAUUCAGAAACUACCACUGAUAUAAGCUGUCUCCCGCUCAGCAACACAGGGGAAAGACCAAGACAAUCUCCCACCAUCAGAGAAAAGGCCGUCAGAGUAAAGUCUUCCUCG